Neltuma alba is the source of this 1580-nucleotide RNA transcript. RefSeq lists it as uncharacterized. The record is from RefSeq and is a predicted model, not a curated record. The transcript has 6 exons. NCBI's taxonomy places the organism in Eukaryota, Viridiplantae, Streptophyta, Magnoliopsida, Fabales, Fabaceae.
ACAAGCUAAGUUAGGUAGGUUUCAAACUCCGAAGCCCACAAAGCACAACUCUUACUCCAGCUCCAAGUUCGCAGGACUGACGACUCACAGCACAAAGCAAGAUCCCUAUCAAUUGUACUAGUAAGUUGUAACGCAGAAUGGACGCAGUUUUAUCAAGUAAGAAGAGAAGCGUCGCAAAUGGACAGGUUCUAGAUGGUUCCAAUAUAAUGGAGUUGGUUGGGAACCAUCAAGUUUUCACCAAUUUCGUGGACCAUAAGUUUCGGGAGUUGGAUAGAGACAGCGACGGUAAGCUCUCGGUGCAGGAGCUCCAGCCUGCCGUCGCCGAUAUCGGUGCUGCUCUCGGAUUGCCUGCUCAGGGCACGAAUCCUGAGUCCGACCACAUUUAUUCUGAGGUCUUAUAUGAGUUCACCCAUGGGAAGGCGGAGAAAGUAAGCAAGGCCGAGUUCAAAGAGGUUCUCUCUGAUAUUCUAUUGGGUAUGGCUGCUGGACUGAAGCGAGACCCAAUUAUGAUACUUCGUAUUGAGGGGGAAGAUCUAUUUGAAUUUGUUAAUGGUCCAAGUUAUGAACCAGAAAUGGCAUCCAUGUUCUUCGAGAUUAAGUCCCCGAAUUUAUCACUCCGUGAUCAUAUAGUUGAAGCCAUGGGGAAGCUUACUGUUGAACAAGGAAUUCCUCCCACUUCUGAUUCUUGGGUAUUUAACAACAUUGUGGAUCCCGCACUACAAUCUCAAGCCGGCCCUGCUUGGGAUGAGCCCGUUUCUCAAGAGAUAUUUCUGACGGAAUUUAGGAAAGUGGCUUUGAAGGUGGCUGAAUAUCUUAAGGAGCAGCCUGUCAUUGUUGCCCACAGUCGAAACACUUUUGAUGGAACUGGUGUUAAGAAACUAUUAUCCAGCAAGUUCGAGUUCGAAAAGACCUUGAACUCGGCUUUAGAAAAUCUGCCAAAAGAUCGAAAUGGAAAAUUGUCGAAGGACCAUCUGCGGGUGGCUCUGGAUAUGGUGUCUCCAUCUGCUGGUUUGCCUCCAUUUGGUGCCAUUGAAGAGAUGGAUAAAGUUAUUGGGGAAGUCUUUAAGAUGAUAGAUGCAGAUGAUGGAAAGACGGUUAAGGAUGACAAGUUCAAGAAAAUCUUAACUGAGAUUCUGGGAAGUAUCAUGUUGCAAUUAGAGGGCAAUCCCAUAUCAAUUUCUUCAAAUUCAGUUGUGCAUGACCCCUUGGGUCCUUCCACGCUUUUGCAGCCACCUAGUGAAACAACUUAACUACCGGCCCGCCCUGGUUUAAGUACUAUUAUGAAGUGCAGAAGAAACUACGUAUAAUAACCUUUGUCAUCUGAAAAUAACACUAAUGGCAGAAUGAUUUAAAGCAUAAGAUAAAAAUUCGAAAUGGUGGUAUGCAUUGUGUAAACCAACAAGGCAGAGAAAAUUGUACAUUCGCUGUUAUAAAAAUUGUUGGCAGCUCCAAGGGUUGCGCUCAAGAGAAAUUGGAAAGAUAGGUCGGGAACUCGCGAUGCCUUUGAUAUAUAUACGCACAUGUGCCCGCACUCUGGGUUUUGUUUCAUUCAAAUAUGUUUUCUUAUAUGAUUCCGGCGG